This 31-nucleotide non-coding RNA is filed under the name Mus musculus (house mouse). Lineage: Eukaryota; Metazoa; Chordata; Mammalia; Rodentia; Muridae. The record is from RNAcentral.
CAGAAAAGGACAUUCCUACUCUGCCAGAGUC